Long non-coding RNA from Peromyscus californicus insignis, 10544 nucleotides. RefSeq lists it as uncharacterized. The record is from RefSeq and is a predicted model, not a curated record. The transcript has 2 exons. NCBI's taxonomy places the organism in Eukaryota, Metazoa, Chordata, Mammalia, Rodentia, Cricetidae.
UCUGCCACGGAACACAAUUUGCCAGCGCUGUACGAAUGCAUUCUGAAGCCAGGUGUAUCAGGUUUUUAAAAAGGCUCCUCGGCAGAUUAGAACGUGCUGUAGAAGCAGAAAAAGUGAGGCGACCCGCUCAUUGCCACACCGCUGCGGCUCCUCUCCCCACCCCCUCUACGUGGCAGAGACGGAGCUCCGCCCUUUCCGCUUGGUGUUCGGUUCCUGGGUUGGCGACAGCGACUUUAGCCAUGACUUAAGGAAGUACAGUUAGAGCUGCAAUUAAAGGCGUGUGUCACCACAUCUGGCCUUGUUUGGUUUUAAGACAAGGUUUUCUGUAAUGAAGGAUAGUCUUAAAUUGGCUUUGUAGCCAAGGGUGAUUUUGAUCCUCCAGCUUCUGUCUCCCAAAUUCUGGGAUUAUAGGCCGAGGUCGCCCGGCGCGGCUAGAGAGGAAGUACUAGGUUCAGAUUUCGGAGGAUUCCUCUUGGAAUCCCUUUCUGUGGUUCUGACCACUCCACAGAAAAGCCAGCUAGUUUGUGUUGUGUAACCCUGAAGUGUUCCUGGACAGGAAGCAGAGGAACGCAGUUGACCUGGCAACUUGAUGAUCUUCCUCUCAACACUUGCUUAAAUAUGUAGUGUCCCCCUAACGUCAGAGAUCUGGCCUCAGAUUUUAUAAUUUUAUGUUUUAAAAUAUUAUGUGAGUGUGAGUGCGCCUGUGCUUGCCACAGCGCGCAGGUGGAAGUCGGGAGCUUUCUCUCCUGCCAUGUGGCCUUGGCUGCAGGUGACUUGACUUCUCGCUCAGUUCAGAUAUUUUUAAAAAGGAGCACCGGUCAGGAUGGUAGCAACCACUAAUAUCUAUGUGAACUAAAAGACACGUAGUUUUGGUUGUGAGCCCGCCUUUAAUCCCAGCACUCGGGAGGCAGAGCCAGGCGGAUCUCUGUGAGUUCGAGGCCAGCCUGGUCUACAGAGCGAGAUCCAGGAAAGCCAGGGCUACGCAGAAAAAUCAAAAGAAGAAAAGAAAAGGAAAAACAAGAAAUAAAGCCAAAGAGGAAUAGACAAAGAAAUGCCCAGAGCAUUGUUUAUCGAGUAAAUGCUAUAGAAUAUAGGGAGCACUUCUAAGCACUUUAGGCUUAGAAUAUUGCUAUGAACAGGAGAAAGAAGCCAGAUGGCCAUUUUGUUUUGUUUGCAUUUUACAUCUUGUGGCAGAGAAAGGCAGUGUGGUUAAGAGCAAAGUUUGGGCCGGGCGGUGGUGGUGCAUGCCUUUAAUCCCAGCACUCGGGAGGCAGAGGCAGACAGAUCUCAGUGACUUCGCGGCCAGCCUGGUCUACAAAGUGAGUUCCAGGACAGCCAGGACUGUUACACAGAGAAACCCUGUCUUGAAAAACAAAAACAAAGGAUCAUGAGACCCCGACUGAGGCUUGAGACCUGAAGCUGCCGUCAUCCUUCCUGCAAUUCAAGCCCCUACAGGGAGAAUUUAGUAGUCGUUUUGGAUUUCAUGUUGGCUGAGAUGGUGAUGCCACCCAUAAAACAGGGAUUUUUGGACAGCCAGACUCAAAAGGAUUGGGAUUUCCUUUGCAAGUCUUCCUUCAGUUCCUUCACAGGAACCAAAGAGGAUGUGUACCGACCAUGAUGGUUGCUGGAGGACAACAGAGCCUAGCCAGUCACCUUGUAAUAUUGGAGAUUUCUUGAGGUGUAGCUUGGGGCAUGGGCCUGAGGGGCAGAGGGGCCACCUUGCCUGCUCCUCACUCACUGGAGUUGAACAUCCCUUCAUCACUUAUUUUCUGAAGCUCCCUACCAGCAUCAGCAAAUGCUCCUGCCUAGUUGGGGCCAGGAAACCCUGCUUCUGAGGGAAGAAUCCGUACAUUUGACUCGAGGUCAGUGAGGGUUCCCAGCUCCUUCUGUCAGAGCCACCUCUCAGCCACAGGAUGGUUGAGUAUUAGCCAUGCUCCUCCCAAAAUAAGUCUGCAAAUGUUGGGAAUGAAUGACUCCAGCUCCUUUCUCACCCCUGGUCAUUCUUCUAGCCAUGUGGAGAUGGAAAGCCUACUGGACACCCCCCACUCCCCCCACACCCUAAUUUGGUUUUGGGAAAAAAUUCGGGGUUGGCCCAUACCAUGUUGGCAGAACCCUUCCUGGCUGUGUUCACCGUUCCUGUCCUGAAGUUCAGCUGUGCUUCACCAUGUGUCUGAGCUCAUGAACUGCUUCCAUUCCACACAAGGGAAGUAGCCCUUGAGACAUUGGAAAGUCAUUCUCUGUUUUGUAGAAACCCUCAGGACCCACCCAGUAUAUGCCAGUGUAUGCUAGCUCUUCAGGCUGUCUGGAGCUCUGUGAUCUUGGGCUCCACCCAUUCUUGCCAGCAUUCAUUACUCUGGAGGUGGGGGCUCUGUAGAUAACCGAGGGACUGACAGGUAUGUGGUCAGAAUCAACCAGCCUUCUCCUGGCUAUGCAGAUUCCUAGUGACUGCUUUUGUCAGGCCCCUGUGUGGUCGCAUGAAUCUUCCUCUGCUUCUCCCACUCAUCAUUUUCCUCCACACAAGCCCUUAUACAUUACUUUUCUGCCUAGAAAGCCCUCCAUAGCCUACCCUCCCUUCUCAUAGCUAAAACUAAACUUCCUUGGAUCUUUCCUGAGGUUGCUGGGAAGUGCUCAGUGACCCCCAGGUUAAGGUCAGGUUCCUUUGGUGCUCUCAUGGCCAUGCUUGUAGUCACUGAUCCUAAAUUCAGUGACUACUUACGGGACUCUUAGGGCUUCCUUUAUGAGUGUCCUGGGGAUAGCAUUGGUCUGUUUCUGCCCACAUUUUGUAUUUUCAGCACCAUGUUGAGGACUUGGCCUGUAAAAGAUUCUAAUCUUCAUGGUCAGCUUCACAGACUUAUUUUUAAAUGUCAAAGGAAGGGUGUUCCAGAUAGAGGGAUCAGCAUAGGUUCAGAGUCUUGGCUUUGAAAGUUUAAGUAGUAGACAGAAACCCUAGAUAGGCAAGGAUCACUAGUGAGGAAUGUGUUUCUUCCUAAAGAGUCAGAAUUUUGUCCUGAUAAUAGUCUCAGUCUCUGUCUCUGUCUCUGUCUCUCUCUCUCCCUCUCCCUCUCUCUCCCUCUCCCUCCCUCUCCCUCCCUCUCUCCCUCCCUCCUUCCCCCCUCUCCUCUCUCUCUCUCUGUUUUUGGUUUUUCAAGACAGGAAUUCUCUGUGUUCUCCUGCCUGUCCUGGAACUCUCUGUAGAUCAGGCUGGCCUCAAACUCAGAGAUUCACCUGCCUUUGCCCCCAGAAUUGAGUGCUGGGAUUAAAGGCGUGCACCACCACUGCCCAGCUUCUCAAGUCAUCUCUUUAGGUUAAGAGCAGAGAAACUGGACUUUGUUCGUGAUUCUUCAUAAAAUCUAAGCAAUGAAACCAUUGCCCUAUUGCAGUUACUUUUAUUAUUUAGUUCCGAGAUCUUGAUUUUGUAUCUGCUCUGUCACUUAUGGACCUUGUUUUCUCAACUGGACAUAACAGCUCUAACAUUUAAAAAAUAUUGAGGGGAUCCUGCUGCCUCUACUCUGAGAGCUGGAGAAGUGGAGCAUUUUAUCUGUUAAUUCACAGAUGCUAUGGAUACUGUUAGUAAGGUUCUGGCUAGACCAGGCUGGCCUUCCCCUGAACACUGUGAACACCAAGGCCAUGUUCUGGCUAUAGGGCCUUAGUCUACACUACUAAGUCUACAGGGCUUGCAUUUACACCAGUGGUUCUCAAUUGGAUAUUUAAACAAUUUUUUUUUAAUGUGAUGGAUGUUUUGCUUAUAUUUGUGUCUGUGUGUGCAAUGCCCAAAGAGACUAGAAGAGGGUGUGGGAUCCCCUGGAAAUGGUGUUACAGAGGGUUGUGAGUUGCCUGCCAUGUGGGUGCUGGGAAUAGAACCUGGGUUUUUUUGGAAGAGCAGCCGGGGCUCUUAACUGCUGAGCCAACUCUCUAGCUCUAUGGGGAUGAUUUUUGAAUGUCCCCACAGGUGACGUUUUGCAGUGUCUGGAGACAUUUGAUGCUGUCAUAACUGGUGGAGGAGGCAAGUGUAUCUCUGUUAACUGGAAUCCUGAGACAUUAAGUAUCUGACAACACACAGAACAGCCCCUCAACCCCAAAGAAUUAUCUUGUUCAAAGUAUUAAUUCUGAGCUUGAGAAACUUUAGUCUAGUUGAAGUGUAGACCAGGUCUUCAUGCCUGUGAUGUCCAGGCCCAGUCAUAUAAGAUAUAAGGCUAGCAAGUGUCUGAUAAGUUGGGAAAGGAAAACUACAGAGUCAUCGGGCUCUAUGAAGCUGCAGGGUAACUCUAACCAUAGUGUGUUUAAAUAUAAUGGAAGCCUUAGAGCUAAGGUGAUGAUGCAGGUGGAGCUGAAGAUUUGUUUUUUGUUGUUUGUUUGUUUGUUUGUUUGUUUUUGUUUUCCGAGACAAGGUUUCUCUGUUUAGCUUUGGUGCCUGUCCUAGAUCUCGCUCUGCCACCACCACCUGGCUAGGAGUUGAGGAUUUUAGAUGUAGGAAAUCUGUGUGAAGAUGGGGUCCAUGGUGCAGCCACAGUAGAGAGGAGCAAGUUUUAACAGUCUGGCAGGUGAUGCAGCAGUCAACAGCUGAACCUGGAAAGGAAGACAUUCAGUAAAAUGAGUGCCUGGUACGUAUGAUUGUACCACCCCACCCCACAAAGUUUUAGUAAUACAUACUGCUAUUUUAUUUGUUUUUUUUUUUGUUUUUUUUUUUUGUUUUUUGGUUUUUCGAGACAGGGUUUCUCUGUGUAGCUUUGCGCCUUUUCUGGGACUCACUUGGUAGCCCAGGCUGGCCUCGAACUCACAGAGAUCCGCCUGGCUCUGCCUCCCGAGUGCUGGGAUUAAAGGCGUGCGCCACCACCGCCCGGCUAUACUGCUAUUUUAAAGGUGUAAAAAAUUCCAAUUUUGGCUGGGCAGUGGUGGUGAAUACCUUUAAUCCCAGCACUCGGGAGGCAGAGACAGGCGGAUCUCUGUGAGUUCGAGGCCAGCUUGGUCUACAGCGCGAGAUCCAGGACAGGCACCAAAACUACACAGAGAAACCCUGUUUUGAAAGAAAAACAAAAAGAAUUUUUCAAUUCUGUUUCCUUCAGUGCUACUGAAAAAUUCAAAGUUGAUCUCCUUGUAGUUCACUUGGUAGAGUACUCGCCUAACAUGGAUAAAGCCCCAGCUUCAGUCCCUUGCAUCCCAUAAAACUGGGUGUGGUGGCACAUGCUUGUAGUCUCAAAGCUUGGGAGGUGGAGGCAGGAAGAUCAAACAUUUAAGAUCAUUUUUUUUUUUUUUUUGUAUAUAUUGAGUUCAAGGCCAGCCUGAGAUACAUGAGAUCUGUCUAAAAACAAAACCAGAACAACAAAAACCCCAGUAUUAAUUGUGUCUGGGAGUACUUGUUGCUCUUCUAGACGGCCUGGGUUGUGUUCCCUGCACCCGUAUUGGGUGACUCAAAACCACAUGUAACUCUAGCUUUAGGGAUCAAGAUGCCCUCUUUUGCCUCCAAAGACACCGGCACAUGCAUAGCAUGCACACACAUACACACACACACACACACACACACACACACACACACACACACAAAACAUGAAGCAUCACCAGAAUUAGAAUGGUUUUGUGGCUAUUAUACCAAUAGAUUUUUCUCCUCGUUCAUGUUCUCUGAUUCAGCCUCUGAGAUUUUUGUCCAAUUAUAGGAGAAAUAUUUACCCACUUCUGGCCUCCUUGGUCACCUGCCUUAUGUGCACACUACCUGCCCCCCCCCAUUAAAAAUAAAAUGAAACCCUGUCUCAAAACAAGCAAAAAAACAGCAGCAACAGCAACAACAAAAACAAAUAUGGGCUAGAAAGAUGGUUCAACUGGUGAGCGAACUUAAUGCUUUUCCGGCAAAUGGGAGGUCAGUUCCCAGCUCCCAUGUCAAGCAACUCAUGACCGGCUGUAACUCCAGUUCCAGGGCCUUUGACACCCUCAGGCACCUGAACUCAUAUGCACAUACCCACACACAGACAUGGGCACACAUAAACAUAAUUAACAAUUGUAGCUGGAGUUUUCCUGCCUGGCCUACAGUCAGGACAAAUCUCUCUCACCUGCCAGUCCCACAGCCACUCAAACCCGACCAAGUAAACACAAAGACUUAUAUUGCUUACAAACUGUAUGGCCGUGGCAGGCUUCUUGCUAACUGUUCUUACAGCUUAAAUUAAUCCAUUUCUAUAAAUCUAUACCUUGACACAUGGCUCAUGGCUUACCGGCAUCUUCACAUGCUGUUUCUCAUCGUGGCGGCUGGCAGUGUCUCUCUGACUCAGCCUUCCACUUCCCAGCUUUAUUCUCCUCCUUGUCCCGCCUAUACUUCCUGCCUAGCCAAUGGCCAGUGUUUUAUUUAUUGACUAAUCAGCAACACAUUUGCCAUACAGAACAUCCCACAGCAAAAAAUAAAUUUAAAAGAUAGGUAAAACAUGAUCAGUCUCUUUCAGGAGUACCAAGUAAAAGGCCUAUGGUGACCCUUCAUCCAGCUUUAUCCAGGUUUUCAGUCGUUUUCUCCCUCCUUGAUUUGUGCCUUGGUGAGAAGUACAUUGUACUAAGAUAUACCAGUAUAGACUUAAAUACGUACAGCAUAAGUAAAGUUCCUGGAAACUUUUAAUGUUCCCUCCCUUAUGCUUUUAAGGAACUAACAUUUUCUCUUUUAUUCAAUAAAAUGUUGUUUAAGAUACAGUAUAAAAUUGUCCUGAUGGUGCAGGCUUGUCUUUUCAGCUGCUUGGGAAGCUAAAGUGGGAAGAUUGCAAGUUCAAGGUCUGACUGGACUAUGAUGUGAGUUCAAGGCCAGCCUCCACCACUAAGAGACCCUGACUGAACACACAAAAGGAGGGCUGGAACAUAGUUCAAUUGUAGGUCACUUGCUUAGCAUAUUCAAGGCCCUAGGCUCAAUGUCCAAUGUGGGAUGUUUGAAGUUAGGAAUAGCAAGCAGCUUGUGUAAAAUGCUGUCCAGUCAGAUCCCAGUAAUGACACAGAGAUUUCUUAUUUUAUGAAAGCUCGCCUUAUAGCUUAGGCUUGUUAUAACUUAAAUUGGCCCAUUUAUAUUAAUCUACAUUUGCUACAUGGCUUGUGGCUGUUACCUCUCCUCCUGUACAUCCUGCUUGCUCUGCCUCUCCUGGAUCUCCCCUGUGCUUCAGUUAUUUCCUCCCACUUCUUCUCUCUGCCUGGAACUACUGCCUAUACCUCCUGCCUAGCUAUUGACCGUUCAGCUCUUCAUUAAACCAAUUACAGCAAUAGAUCUUCACACAGUGUGCAAAUAUCCCACAACAGCAGCUACUCUAGUGGAGCCUUCAACACACUCUGAAGUCCCUUUUCUCCAUUUCUGGGCUUGAGCUAAACUGUUAAGUUGCAGAGAGGAAGGGGGUUUUGCACACCAUUUUAUACAUACCUGACUUGGUGCUGAACAGACAGCAAGCAUUCCCAGCACAAGUGACACUUGGGAGGUGGAAGCAGCAGAACUGGGAUGUCAAGGUUUACUCCUGAUACAUGCUGAGAUCAAGGAGCCUGAGUAAGAAAUAAAACACACACCAGACACCUACCUAGGGCUGAAGAGAUGGCUCAGUGGUUAAGAGCACUUGCUGCUCUGUGGAGGCCCAAACUACUCAGGGUCAGAGAAUCUCAGCUUGCUUUACUCAGCAGGGCUCCAUAAUGAGAUGAUUUGACCACGGGCGUGUUUACCAGGUGUUUGGAAGGGUCUACCCUUGGCUGUAUGGUGUGCUUUGAUCUUGUAAGGGGGAAGUCUUUUGCCUCUCCCCCUGGCAUGUUAUAGAAAGCCUUUUGAAUAAAGCCUGAAGGCUGUUGGGUAUUGGUCUAGGUCUUUCCGAAGCUAUCCUGUGUUUCUGUCUUUCUUCUCGUUGGCUAGGUCUCUCUUUCUAAUAUUUUCUUAUCCCCCUCUGUCCUCCUCCUAAGAACCCUAGAAAAGGAGGGAAAGGUCGGAGCUGGACUUCCAAGGACCCACACACUGCUCUUACAGAAGACCCCAGUUCUUAGUACUAUAGCUCCAAGGCUACCUGCACACACAUAAUAACAUGAUAUACAUUCAUACAGAUACAGAAACAUACACAUAAGGGGCUAGAGACUUAUAAGAAGAGCACUGACUGUUCUUCCAGAGGACCCGGUUCAGUUCCCAGCAACCACAUGGCAGGUAACAAUUGUCUGUAACUCUAAGAUGUGACACCCUUACACAGACAUACAUGCAGGCAAAACACCAAUGUAAAAGAAAAAAUGAAAAAGCCGGGCAAUGGUGGCAUACACCUUUAAUCCCAGCACUCAGGAGGCAGAGGCAGGUGGAUCUCAGAGCUCAAGACCAGCCUGGUCUACAGAGCAAGUUCCCGGACAGCCAAGGCUACUCAAAUCCUGUCUCAAAAAACAAAACAAAACAAAAACAAAAAACCAACCAAACAAACAAAAAUUCACCCUGAGUGUGAUGGUACAUGUCUUUAAUCUCAGCACUCAGGAGGCUGAGGUAGGCAGAUUGUUUGAGUUCAAGGCCCCCCUGGUCUAUCUAUGGAGUUCGUGGACCACUAGGACCACACCAAGAGACCAUGUCUCAAAAUAACAACAACAACAACAAAAUUACACUUUUGUUGGGACAAUAUUUUUGGUCUUAAACUCUGUACUCAAGGAUGACCUUGAACUCUUGAUCUACCUGCCUCUUUGUCCCAAGAGCUGGGGUUACAAAUGUUCCUGCUCCUGUUUUAUAAUGUUUUUCUUCUCCCUUUCCCCCAUUUAACAUACUGAUCCAGGCCUGAUUCUAGGGACUAACAGGAGACAAUAGUGUUGUUGACAAAUUUGUAAUCUGCUGUCAGUUUGCAGAUAAGAAACCCCAAACAGCGGUAAAUUGUUAAACAUUCUGAAGUGUCUUGUAGACCAAAAAGGGACAAGGUUAGUUAACCACUUCCAUGGCAUUUGAAGAAAAUACUGGAUUCGAGAGUUACUGGAAUUGGCCAUGGAAAAUUAGGGUUAUGCUUACAGCGGUUUCAAGUUGAAAUAAGCUACUGUGACAAUGUGCCGCUCCACAGGCCACCCAUAUUCUCAGGGGCUUUUCCUUUCCUGGGUGGGUGCUGGCAGAGGGUGUGCUCAGUGUCUCCUCUAUAGGUGUGUAGCCCCAAAGCCAAAAUUAGAGAGAGAGAGAGAGAGAAGGUUAGUGGGGAGAUAAACACUUUCCGGAACUGCAAAGAAAACACUCCCUUUCUGGCUUCAUUUUUCCUCAUGUUUAGAGACACAGCAUGCUCAGGGUGUCUCAAGUAGAACUUGAGUGGAAUGUUUUCAGGUCUCUUGAACUGACUGAGAGCUGUGGUGCCUACUGGUGUGCAUCUCCAUGGCAGGCAUGAGCUGCCCAUCUUCUGGUGCUUAAGGGACACAACAGAACCACCUCUCCAGCUGCUCUGCUCUGAUUCAUCAUGUGCACCUAGAAGAAUCUUCUCCGUGUCCCCAUUGUGGAGGUUUCCAAAAGGAGGCGCUCCAGCUCCCCCUCCCCCAGUCUCCUAUUGUCUGGACCAUUGCCAUUGCUACAGUUCAUGGUUAACUUCAACUAGGGAGUGUUGAGCGUCACUGGUGUGGCCCAGGCUGCUCUUCCAUCGGAUAUUCUAGCCAGGAACUCUGUCCCCGAGCAUCUUUCGUUCUUGUUUUUCAAGUUUCUGUUUGUUAUUGCUGGGCAGGGACAGCAGAGGCUCUGCUAAACAAGAGACUACAUGAGAUGACUGGUGGAAGAACUGCCGUGGCUCCAGGGUGACCGUCAUAGUUAGCUUCAGCUGUCAACUUGACACAAACCUAGAACCAGCUGGGAGGAGGGUAAACCAGCAACUGAGAAACUGCCUCUCUCAGGCUGACCUGUUGCCAUGUCUGUGAAGCAUUUUCCUAAUUGCCUAUUGAUGUAGGAGGGCGUAGCCCACUGUGGGCGGUGCCAUCUGUAGCCAGGUGGGCUUGGGCUGUGUCAGGAAGAUAGCUUAGCAAGUCAAGGGAAGCAGUCUAGUAGGCAUUCCGCCCCAACUCCAGGUUCCUGCUUGAGUUCCUGUCUUGACUUCCCUUGAUGAUGGACUAUGACCUUGAAGAACCAAAACACCCUCAUUUCAAGCAAGCCCCUCACCCCAGCUUGAAACAGGCCUGAGUUUCAAAAUUCUCAGAGCUGCUGACAUAGGUCUCAGGACAAAGUCAGGAUGUUGAAGAGCCAUCUGGUAGCAACUGAUUAACCAUAGAAUACCCCAAUGCCGGAGAUGGUCAAAAGUACAAAGUCAGGAUGUUUGAAGGACUAUCUGGUAACAAUUGAUUAACCACAGAAUGCCCCAAUGCCAGAGGUAGUCUAUAAAGUUUGACAAACAACAAGUUAAAACUAGAAAGUAAGAUAACACAGAAAUUCUGAAAAGCCCCUAAAACUUGAGCCAAUCAGAAUUGUACCCGUACUAGCACCCCUAAAUGAUGUAACCUUGUGGUUUUUGCCUUUAAAAACUGAGCUUGCAGAGGGGCGGGCACCUCCUCCAGCCUCUACUGUGUUGGAUGUCUUGACAAGGUCCCUGCUGCGUGGCUUAUACUGCUUCAAUAAACCUUGCUGUUGCAUCUUG